UACGAGGGGGGCAAGCGUUGUUCGGAAUUAUUGGGCGUAAAGGGCGCGUAGGCGGUGCGGUAAGUCACCUGUGAAACCUCUAGGCUUAACCUAGAGCCUGCAGGCGAAACUGCCGUGCUAGAGUGUGAGAGAGGCGAGUGGAAUUACGGGUGUAGCGGUGAAAUGCGUAGAUAUCCGUAGGAACAUCCGAGGCGAAGGCGGCUCGCUGGAUCACAACUGACGCUGAGGGACGAAAGCUAGGGGAGCAAACAGG
RNAcentral lists this ribosomal RNA (253 nucleotides) under uncultured bacterium. RNAcentral's name for it is "partial 16S ribosomal RNA". It matches the Rfam family "Bacterial small subunit ribosomal RNA", at positions 524 to 776 of the family's 1533-position model. The record is from RNAcentral.